This 433-nucleotide ribosomal RNA is filed under the name uncultured bacterium. RNAcentral describes it as "partial 16S ribosomal RNA". It matches the Rfam family "Bacterial small subunit ribosomal RNA", at positions 29 to 507 of the family's 1533-position model. The record is from RNAcentral.
AACGAACGCUGGCGGCAUGCCUAACACAUGCAAGUCGAACGAGACCUUCGGGUCUAGUGGCGCACGGGUGCGUAACGCGUGGGAACCUGCCUUUAGGUUCGGAAUAACUCAGAGAAAUUUGAGCUAAUACCGGAUGAUGUCUUCGGACCAAAGAUUUAUCGCCUUUAGAUGGGCCCGCGUUGGAUUAGCUAGUUGGUUGGGUAAAGGCCUACCAAGGCGACGAUCCAUAGCUGGUCUGAGAGGAUGAUCAGCCACACUGGGACUGAGACACGGCCCAGACUCCUACGGGAGGCAGCAGUGGGGAAUAUUGGACAAUGGGCGAAAGCCUGAUCCAGCAAUGCCGCGUGAGUGAUGAAGGCCUUAGGGUUGUAAAGCUCUUUUACCCGAGAUGAUAAUGACAGUAUCGGGAGAAUAAGCUCCGGCUAACUCCGUG